UUAGUAACUGCGAGUGAAGAGGGAAAAGCUCAAAUUUARAAUCUGGCAGCAUUUUGCUGUCCGAGUUGUAACCUAGAGAAGUGUAACCUGUGCUGGACCGUGUAUAAGUUUCCUGGAAUGGAGCAUCACAGAGGGUGAGAAUCCCGUCUUUGACAUGGACUACCAGUGCAUUGUGGUUGUGCUCUCAACGAGUCGAGUUGUUUGGGAAUGCAGCUCUAAAUGGGUGGUAAAUUCCAUCUAAAGCUAAAUAUUGGCGAGAGACCGAUAGCGAACAAGUACCGUGAGGGAAAGAUGAAAAGAACUUUGGAAAGAGAGUUAAACAGUAUGUGAAAUUGUUGAAAGGGAAACGUUUGAAGUCAGUCGCGUUAGCUGGGGAUCAGCCUGACAUUGUUGGGUGCACUUCCUGGUUGACGGGCCAACAUCAGUUUUGACUGCCAGAAAAAGGCCAAGGGAAUGUGGCACCUUUGGGUGUGUUAUAGCCUUUGGUCACAUAUGGUGGUUGGGACUGAGGAACGCAGUGUGCCGAAAGGCCGGGUUUCGACCACGUUCACACUGAGGAUGUUGGCAUAAUGGCUUUAAGCGACCCGUCUUGAAACACGGACCAAGGAGUCUAACAUGCAUGCGAGUGUUUGGGUGGAAAACCCUUACGCGUAAUGAAAGUGAAAGUUGAGAUCCCUGUCGUGGGGAGCAUCGACGCCCGGACCAGAACUUUUGGGACGGAUCUGCGGUAGAGCACGUAUGUUGGGACCCGAAAGAUGGUGAACUAUGCCUGAAUAGGGUGAAGCCAGAGGAAACUCUGGUGGAGGCUCGUAGCGAUUCUGACGUGCAAAUCGAUCGUCAAAUUUGGGUAUAGGGGCGAAA
RNAcentral lists this ribosomal RNA (861 nucleotides) under Amanita fritillaria. RNAcentral's name for it is "eukaryotic LSU rRNA". It matches the Rfam family "Eukaryotic large subunit ribosomal RNA", at positions 80 to 928 of the family's 3401-position model. Lineage: Eukaryota; Fungi; Basidiomycota; Agaricomycetes; Agaricales; Amanitaceae. The record is from RNAcentral.